CAAGCCUAGCCGAAAGAAAAGCCGGUUCGUUGCGCUGUUUGAACGCGAAUGGUGGGUGUUGUGUGGUUGUGCCUGCGGGAUUAACUGCUGCCAACUGGGUCCCGCCAAAAACGGCAGUGUUUUCUCACCUGUAACGUCGCUGCUGGACCUGAUCACCCACCGGAGCGUCAUGCUAUCAGCGGUCACUCCAGUCACGAAAAGCCGCGGAGCUUCGGGAACAUCUGCGUAGGGACGUCGGAAGCAAAGCACCACAGGUACAGGGGUACUUUCCAUACCAUCGCCGCUGUCACGUACCGUGGUCCCUCCAGUACUGGACGACGUACUUCGAGAUCGGACUGUUUCCGCUGUAUGAUGGCGACCACGACACGCUCGCCGAUCGGCUCCAGACGUCCUUGAGGCGCACAUCCUGCGGAGGACCCGGCACCUCUGGGAGUAGAAAAGGCCCGGUUCGAGGUGUCAUUCGCUUGACGCUGCCCUUGGACCAGGCGAUGGAGAGUGGCUGGUCGCCCGUGGCCUGGCACUUCAUCCGCGUCACCUCGGUCCGCCGGGCGGUCACCACGGUCGACUUCUCUUCGAACCUCGCCGGCACUGCGCGUGG
Long non-coding RNA from Dermacentor albipictus, 598 nucleotides. RefSeq lists it as uncharacterized. Lineage: Eukaryota; Metazoa; Arthropoda; Arachnida; Ixodida; Ixodidae. The record is from RefSeq and is a predicted model, not a curated record.